GCAGUGGUGGUUCACUGGUAGAAGAAUUCCCACCUUCUGUGUGGGAGACCCGGGUUCAAUUCCUGGCCAAAGCA
RNAcentral lists this transfer RNA (74 nucleotides) under Loxodonta africana (African savanna elephant). It matches the Rfam family "tRNA". From Rfam's summary of the family: Transfer RNA (tRNA) molecules are approximately 80 nucleotides in length. Their secondary structure includes four short double-helical elements and three loops (D, anti-codon, and T loops). Further hydrogen bonds mediate the characteristic L-shaped molecular structure. tRNAs have two regions of fundamental functional importance: the anti-codon, which is responsible for specific mRNA codon recognition, and the 3' end, to which the tRNAs corresponding amino acid is attached (by aminoacyl-tRNA synthetases). tRNAs cope with the degeneracy of the genetic code in two manners: having more than one tRNA (with a specific anti-codon) for a particular amino acid; and 'wobble' base-pairing, i.e. permitting non-standard base-pairing at the 3rd anti-codon position. Lineage: Eukaryota; Metazoa; Chordata; Mammalia; Proboscidea; Elephantidae. The record is from Rfam by way of RNAcentral.